Long non-coding RNA from Bos taurus (domestic cattle), 568 nucleotides. NCBI's taxonomy places the organism in Eukaryota, Metazoa, Chordata, Mammalia, Artiodactyla, Bovidae. The record is from Ensembl.
GGGGUAACAUACUUUUUCUAAGAAAAGUUCUAAAGUUGAAAUAUUGGACCCAGUCCCAAGCUAAUGGCAUGAAAUGAGGAUGAGACAAAGGUAACAUCAACCAAAAAGAGUUACUCAAAGGAUUACAUUUCACUGCUUCCCUGUUGAAGUGAAGAGAGAAACGUUCCAUUCUGGCCCACCUUUGAAAAAGUUAUUUUGCCCCAUGGAUUCCUUGUUCAUUUAGAAAAUCCUGGGGCAGGUGACCCAUAGUCUUAAAGACCAGACUAAUCACUGCAGAGAUUGGUUGCUAUUUUGCCUUUCAUCAGCUGCAAGAUUUACAUAAAAAAUCACUUAAGCUGGAAUUCAACAAAAGGAGAAAUGUGGAGCAGAUGCAGACACAGGGAGAACUCUUUGUGAAGAUGAAGGCAGAGAUCAGGGUGAGGUUUCUACACACCAAGGAACUCCAGUGAUCACCAGCAGACCACCAGAAGCUGAGGAAGAGACGUGGGAGCAAUCUUCUCUGCACAGCCAGAAGGAACCAACCUUGCUGAUACCUUGGUCUUAGACAUCUGGCCUCCAGAACCAUGAC